RNAcentral lists this ribosomal RNA (406 nucleotides) under uncultured bacterium. RNAcentral's name for it is "partial 16S ribosomal RNA". It matches the Rfam family "Bacterial small subunit ribosomal RNA", at positions 30 to 526 of the family's 1533-position model. The record is from RNAcentral.
AUUGAACGCUGGCGGCAGGCCUAACACAUGCAAGUCGAGCGAGCGGCGGACGGGUGAGUAAUGUCUGGGAAACUGUCUGUUGGCGGGGGAUAACUACUGGAAACGGUAGCUAAUACCGCAUACCAUCAGAUGUGCCCAGAGGGGAUUAGCUAGUGGGUGGGGUAAUGGCCCACCUAGGCGACGAUCCCUAGCUGGUCUGAGAGGAUGACCAGCCACACUGGGACUGAGACACGGUCCAGACUCCUACGGGAGGCAGCAGUGGGGAAUAUUGCACAAUGGGCGCAAGCCUGAUGCAGCCAUGCCGCGUGUAUGAAGAAGGCCUUCGGGUUGUAAAGUACUUUCGGCGGGGAAGCGUUACCCGCAGAAGAAGCACCGGCUAACUCCGUGCCAGCAGCCGCGGUAAUAC